GACGAACGCUGGCGGCGUGCUUAACACAUGCAAGUCGAACGGAAAGGCCCCUUUGGGGGUACUCGAGUGGCGAACGGGUGAGUAACACGUGAGUAACCUGCCCUUGACUUCGGGAUAACUUCAGGAAACUGGGGCUAAUACCGGAUAGGAAUCCUUGCUGCAUAGUGGGGGUUGGAAAGCUUCGGCGGUUUUGGAUGGACUCGCGGCUUAUCAGCUUGUUGGUGGGGUAGUGGCUUACCAAGGCUUUGACGGGUAGCCGGCCUGAGAGGGCGACCGGCCACAUUGGGACUGAGAUACGGCCCAGACUCCUACGGGAGGCAGCAGUGGGGAAUAUUGCACAAUGGGCGGAAGCCUGAUGCAGCAACGCCGCGUGCGGGAUGACGGCCUUCGGGUUGUAAACCGCUUUCAGCAGGGGCGAAGCUUGUGGUGACGGUACCUGCAGAAGAAGCACCGGCUAACUACGUG
Molecule: ribosomal RNA, 465 nt
Filed under: uncultured bacterium
Lineage: Bacteria
Description: partial 16S ribosomal RNA
Rfam family: Bacterial small subunit ribosomal RNA
Source: RNAcentral